CCUGCCAGUAGUCAUAUGCUUGUCUCAAAGAUUAAGCCAUGCAUGUCUCAGUACAAGCCAAAUUAAGGUGAAACCGCGAAAGGCUCAUUAAAUCAGUUAUGGUUCCUUAGAUCGUACCCACAUUUACUUGGAUAACUGUGGUAAUUCUAGAGCUAAUACAUGCAAACAGAGCUCCGACCGGAGACGGAAGGAGUGCUUUUAUUAGAUCAAAACCAAUCGGCGGCAGUAGCGUUUCUGCGUUAUUGUUCGUCGUACUGUUUGGUGACUCUGAAUAACUUUUGGCUGAUCGCACGGUCUUGCACCGGCGACGCAUCUUUCAAAUGUCUGCCUUAUCAACUGUCGAUGGUAGGUUCUGCGCCUACCAUGGUUGUAACGGGUAACGGGGAAUCAGGGUUCGAUUCCGGAGAGGGAGCCUGAGAAACGGCUACCACAUCCAAGGAAGGCAGCAGGCGCGCAAAUUACCCACUCCCGGCACGGGGAGGUAGUGACGAAAAAUAACGAUACGGGACUCAUCCGAGGCCCCGUAAUCGGAAUGAGUACACUUUAAAUCCUUUAACGAGGACCAAUUGGAGGGCAAGUCUGGUGCCAGCAGCCGCGGUAAUUCCAGCUCCAAUAGCGUAU
RNAcentral lists this ribosomal RNA (621 nucleotides) under Elaphropus parvulus. RNAcentral describes it as "SSU rRNA". It matches the Rfam family "Eukaryotic small subunit ribosomal RNA", at positions 13 to 602 of the family's 1831-position model. Lineage: Eukaryota; Metazoa; Arthropoda; Insecta; Coleoptera; Carabidae. The record is from RNAcentral.